Molecule: ribosomal RNA, 497 nt
Filed under: uncultured bacterium
Lineage: Bacteria
Description: partial 16S ribosomal RNA
Rfam family: Bacterial small subunit ribosomal RNA
Source: RNAcentral
GACGAACGCUGGCGGCGUGCCUAAUACAUGCAAGUUGAGCGCUGAAGGUUGGUACUUGUACCAACUGGAUGAGCAGCGAACGGGUGAGUAACGCGUGGGGAAUCUGCCUUUGAGCGGGGGACAACAUUUGGAAACGAAUGCUAAUACCGCAUAAAAACUUUAAACACAAGUUUUAAGUUUGAAAGAUGCAAUUGCAUCACUCAAAGAUGAUCCCGCGUUGUAUUAGCUAAUUGGUGAGGUAAAGGCUCACCAAGGCGAUGAUACAUAGCCGACCUGAGAGGGUGAUCGGCCACAUUGGGACUGAGACACGGCCCAAACUCCUACGGGAGGCAGCAGUAGGGAAUCUUCGGCAAUGGACGAAGGUCUGACCGAGCAACGCCGCGUGAGUGAAGAAGGUUUUCGGAUCGUAAAACUCUGUUGGUAGAGAAGAACGUUGGUGAGAGUGGAAAGCUCAUCAAGUGACGGUAACUACCCAGAAAGGGACGGCUAACUACGUG